RNAcentral lists this ribosomal RNA (300 nucleotides) under uncultured Acholeplasma sp. RNAcentral describes it as "bacterial SSU rRNA". It matches the Rfam family "Bacterial small subunit ribosomal RNA", at positions 495 to 795 of the family's 1533-position model. The record is from RNAcentral. Lineage: Bacteria; Bacillati; Mycoplasmatota; Mollicutes; Acholeplasmatales; Acholeplasmataceae.
GGCUAGAUACGAGCCAGCAUGCUCGGUAGGAUGUAGGGGGCAGUGUGGAAUCGUACGUACGGGGAGAAAGUGGUGCGCAGGGUGUUGGGCAAGUCGAGUGGUGAAUCCCCUGGCUGAACUUGGGAAUUGCGCUCUGAACUACUAGGCUCGAGUGGGGCAGAGGAAGGUGGAAUUCCACGUGUAGCGGGUAAAUGCGUAGAGAUGUGGAGGAACACCGAUGGCGAAGGCAGCCUUCGGGGCCAACACUGACGCUCAUGCACGAAAGCGUGGGGAGCAAACAGGAUUAGAUACCCGUGAGUC